CAGGGUAUGGCUCAGUGGCAGAGCACAUGCUUAGCAUGCACAAAGUCCUGGGUUCAAUUCCCCAGUACCUGU
This 72-nucleotide transfer RNA is filed under the name Camelus bactrianus (Bactrian camel). It matches the Rfam family "tRNA". Rfam says of the family: Transfer RNA (tRNA) molecules are approximately 80 nucleotides in length. Lineage: Eukaryota; Metazoa; Chordata; Mammalia; Artiodactyla; Camelidae. The record is from Rfam by way of RNAcentral. RNAcentral also lists the same sequence under 2 other names.